Long non-coding RNA from Cydia amplana, 330 nucleotides. RefSeq lists it as uncharacterized. The transcript is spliced from 2 exons. Lineage: Eukaryota; Metazoa; Arthropoda; Insecta; Lepidoptera; Tortricidae. The record is from RefSeq and is a predicted model, not a curated record.
GUCAUAUUUAGGGAACCGUUGGUCCCGUCUAGAUGAUUGUUGUCAAUCGAAUCUAAAUAGUCAUCAUUAUCAGCCAUGUCAGGGAACCACUUGUAUCAUUAAUACAAUAUUUAAAGAUUGCGGGCUAUCGACGUACCGGUAACCAAUUUUGUUCAUAAGCGGUUGACCUAAAUAGAAAAUAUGGUUACCACCACUUACUUUCGGUCAACCGAAUAUUUUAUGAUGGGGGAAAUUUCACAAACAUAUCAUUAUUUUCCAGAUAUUUAUAGAUUUGUUUGGCAAAAUACUGAUAACUGAAAAUUAAACGCCAAACCAAACACUACUGACAAA